RNAcentral lists this long non-coding RNA (1402 nucleotides) under Penaeus japonicus. Its description in RNAcentral is "uncharacterized LOC122265808". Lineage: Eukaryota; Metazoa; Arthropoda; Malacostraca; Decapoda; Penaeidae. The record is from RNAcentral.
UUUCUGGAAUAAAAGUAAAAUUGUAUAAUUACUUCGGUAAGAACUCAUUAAAAGACUUCAGAUGACUAUGCGCUAAUAUAUUCAUGGCUAUAUAUGUAAAUAUUCGAUGAUUUCCACAUGCAUUUCCGCUGAAAGAUGGGUUUGUUUACAUGCAUAAAUGCUUGGAAAAAAUCCCGUAAUGGAACCCGAAUCUUUCCUUUCGUGAGUUUGGAGCCUUCAAACCUCCAAAAGUCAGAAGAAAAUAGAAUUAGAUACUCCUACAGAAUACGUUUCAGCGACCUAUUACCGACGUGGCGAAAUAAUAAGCUGCAGCCGAGGAAGGGAAAUUGGCCAAAACGAAAGAUACUAUGUCUAACACCGACUGCAAAAAGCAAAAGACAAAUGAUUCUACACAAUGGGCCUUUUACCAAGAAGAAGCAGCUAGGACUUCUAGAUACUGGCAAGCUAAUUUUGUAUUUUGAUGUUCUGUACAAUGCCUUUUUAAAUUGAUAAGUUGAAUUACUUAAAUUCAUUUGACCAUAUUUGAAGCAGAUGCUGUAUAUAAAAUGGUCAAAUACAAAUGCGAAUAUACAUAAAUUAAGGUUCUUAUUUAUGAGAAAAUACAAUGAUUAAAUUUGGAAAUACAAAUACAAAAUAUGUUUGACACCAUCCCUGGUUGAUACAGUAAUGUACAUGUCAUUGUAAAUAACAUGCACAUUCAAAAGCAUAUCAGAAGUACUAUAGUUUCUAAGAUUUAACAAUUACAUGUAUGAAACAACAAAAAUAGAAAGAAACAAGUUUUAAUUUUGGAGUAAUGUGUAUUUUUUAUAACUGCUUAAGCUGUCAAUGAGAACUUACAAGGAGCACAAAAGAAAUUAUAAUUUCUAAAUAUGGGUAUUUGCCAUAAAAAAUUAUAACUUCUGACAGAUCUUCCUUUUUAUUUAUAAUGUAUGCAUAUUAAUGUUAUGUACCAAAAUGGGGUAGGGAAACUUUGCCCAAAGUAGAAAAUUAUGCACAAAUCUUCCUUGUGUAUACUCCAGCUAUGGUGUAUAUGAGAAGUGGAUGAAAAUUAUAUACUAAAACAAAAUUACUUACGAAAUGAGUAAAAAAAAAAAUCUAUAGAUAUUUACCAAAAGAAAAAUGUUCCUUGGAUUUGUGCACAGCUUUAUUGUAUUUCAAAUUGUAUAACAAAAGUUUAAAUUAGAUUGAUUUUAUUUUUAGCUGGAGCACACACAUGUAGGAAAUAUACCAUUCUGAGGAUAACAUGGUUAGAUAUUGUCUGUAUUGCAUAUUCAUUUCCUAUCACUUCUUAGCGUAUAUACCUAAACACCAUAAAAUGUCCAUCCUUUGUCCUUUAUUGUUUGUUGCAUGAAGACAUGAUAUUUGGGAUGAGUUAAUUAAGAGAGAGAGAGAGAGAGAGAGA